This 431-nucleotide ribosomal RNA is filed under the name uncultured Elusimicrobium sp. Its description in RNAcentral is "bacterial SSU rRNA". It matches the Rfam family "Bacterial small subunit ribosomal RNA", at positions 958 to 1385 of the family's 1533-position model. The record is from RNAcentral. Lineage: Bacteria; Pseudomonadati; Elusimicrobiota; Elusimicrobia; Elusimicrobiales; Elusimicrobiaceae.
AACGCGAAGAACCUUACCUGGGCUUGAACUACUGGUAGUAAGCCUUUGGAAACAUAGGCUGAUCCGCAAGGAAGCCAGCAGAGGUGCUGCAUGGUUGUCGUCAGCUCGUGUCGUGAGAUGUUGGGUUAAGUCCCGCAACGAGCGCAACCCCUAUCUCAUGUUGCUAAUCCCGCAAGGGAUGCACUUUUGAGAAACUGCCUUCGAUAAGAAGGAGGAAGGUGGGGAUGACGUCAAAUCCUCAUGGCCCUUAUGUCCAGGGCUACACACGUGCUACAAUGGCCGGUACAACGGGAAGCAAUACCGCAAGGUGGAGCCAAACCCUGAAAGCCGGCCCCAGUUCAGAUCGUGGGCUGAAACUCGCCCACGUGAAGGCGGAAUCGCUAGUAAUCGCGAAUCAGCAGGUCGCGGUGAAUACGUUCCCGGGCCUUGUA